AAAUUUAGCUAAAACCCAAGUGAUCACCAUAGCCGUCUUGAUUCUACUAAGUUGCAGUCAAACUGAAAGCUCACCUAUAUUUCUAGGGUUUGAACCUUCUGAAAGUAGGAGUGGCUUGGGUUUUCUUUAAGUCAGUGUGUUUUUGAUGUUUUACAUAUUUGGAGGGUUAGAUUACAAGAAUGCAAGCCUUAAUGUACUUUCUGUAUAACCACAUCCCUUGUUCAGCAGCCUUAGCUGGGAAAUGACACUCCGUGCCAAAAACAAGAAGCUUAACAUUUUGCUGUCUUCUUCCCAAGCAACAUUCACAACUUUUCUACGAGACUUCUUUAUUGGUCAUUGGCUUCCUAUUCAUUUCUGGACCAGAGUAUACCCAGACAGCAAGCAUACUAACAGGAUGAGAAACCUAAGAGGGACUGGGGUUGUUGUAACCUCGAGAAGAAUGUUUCAAAGGUUCAAGAUGAUUGUUCUUAAAGAUCUGAAGGUUUCUAGAGGAAGAGCAAUUUGAUUUUUUUCACUGUGGCUUUAGGAAAGCAGAAAUAAAGGCAACGAAUGAAUGGAAAUUAGAGACAGAUUUUGCACUUAUAUUAAAUUGAAAACAAUUUGAAUAUUUCAAGACUGAAGUAUAGUUCUUCCAAUUGGAUGUGUCAAGCAAACCACCUUAAAGCACAGAGGAUGUUGAAGACAGGGACCAC
This 692-nucleotide long non-coding RNA is filed under the name Fukomys damarensis (Damara mole-rat). Its description in RNAcentral is "lncRNA (ENSFDAG00000031309.1)". The record is from RNAcentral. Lineage: Eukaryota; Metazoa; Chordata; Mammalia; Rodentia; Bathyergidae.